This 1254-nucleotide ribosomal RNA is filed under the name Gnathopogon strigatus (Manchurian gudgeon). Its description in RNAcentral is "partial 16S ribosomal RNA". It matches the Rfam family "Bacterial large subunit ribosomal RNA", at positions 686 to 2592 of the family's 2925-position model. The record is from RNAcentral. Lineage: Eukaryota; Metazoa; Chordata; Actinopteri; Cypriniformes; Gobionidae.
AAAGAGACCUUUAGUUUGAUACCCCGAAACCAGGUGAGCUACCCCGAGACAGCCUAUAUAAUUUAGGGCUAACCCGUCUCUGUGGCAAAAGAGUGGGAAGAGCUCCGGGUAGAAGUGACAGACCUACCGAACCUGGUGAUAGCUGGUUGCCUGAGAGAUGGAUAGAAGUUCAGCCCCAUAUACCCCAAACCAAGACCUUAUUUAAGAUACUAGGGAGACGUGUGGGAGUUAGUUAAAGGGGGUACAGCCCCUCUAACAAAGGAUACAACCUUUACAGGAGGAUAAAGAUCACAAUAUUUAAAACACACUGUUCUAGUGGGCCUAAAAGCAGCCAUCUAAACAGAAAGCGUUAAAGCUCAGACAGAAAAAAGUUUAUUAUACCGAUAAAAAAUCUUAUUCCCCUAACAAUAUCAGGCUACCCCAUGCCUACAUGGAAGAAAUUAUGCUAAAAUGAGUAACAAGAAGAUUUGUUCUUCUCCAGGCGCAAGUGUACACCAGAUCGGACAAGCCACUGGAAAUUAACGAACCCAAAUAAAGAGAGUACUGCGGACAAUAAAAAAACCAAGAAAAUCCCGCAAUUAAGUAAUCGUUAACCCCACACUGGAGCGCCAUAUUAAAGGAAAGACUAAAAGAAAGGGAAGGAACUCGGCAAACACAAGCCUCGCCUGUUUACCAAAAACAUCGCCUCCUGCAAAUAAAUUAAGUAUAGGAGGUCCAGCCUGCCCAGUGACUACGGGUUCAACGGCCGCGGUAUUUUGACCGUGCAAAGGUAGCGCAAUCACUUGUCUUUUAAAUAGAGACCUGUAUGAAUGGCUAAACGAGGGCUUAACUGUCUCCCCCUUCCAGUCAGUGAAAUUGAUCUAUCCGUGCAGAAGCGGGUAUAAUUCUACAAGACGAGAAGACCCUUUGGAGCUUAAGGUACAAAAUUCAACCACGUCAAACAACUAAAUAAAAAGCAAAAACUUAGUGAAGAAUGAAAUUUUACCUUCGGUUGGGGCGACCGCGGAGGAAAAACCAGCCUCCGAGUGGAAUGGGGUAAACCCCUAAAACCAAGAGAAACAUCUCUAAGCCGCAGAACAUCUGACCAUAAAUGAUCCGGCCGAACAGCCGAUCAACGAACCAAGUUACCCUAGGGAUAACAGCGCAAUCCUCUCCCAGAGUCCAUAUCGACGAGGGGGUUUACGACCUCGAUGUUGGAUCAGGACAUCCUAAUGGUGCAGCCGCUAUUAAGGGUUCGUUUGUUCAACGAUUAAA